UCUGGCUGCAGUUUGGGACCCGCGGGGAUAAGAAGCUUUGUGUUUCUGCUGCAGCGUGCUGGCAAUCUUGCCAUGUCUCUCAUCUAAGCCUUCAGCAUCACCCAGAUGUGGCAGGACUCAGCCUCCUGGAGAGCAGAAGAGCAUCAGAGAAGGCCAUGCCCCAUGAGAAGGACACCACUGCAUGACCCUCUGGGUCCCCAAUGGGUAGAGAAGAGCCUGACUGCAGUAGGAACCACCUGCUCAGCAUCAUCUGAAGAAGGUGUUUUCCUUCCUCCAGCCCCCACAGCCUUACUGGGUUAAAGGAAGGGCCCUGGGCAGAGCAAGGAGCACUCACAAUAUAGGAGAUCAGCCUGAGCAUCCUCGCACUGUGGGGUUCAACCUACCAGAAUCAUGCCAGUGGGCACCAGCCCUAUUUAUUUCCAUGCUCAUCAGCAAAAGCAGCACAUUUUCAGGUCGCAUCUCUCUUCCUUCUCAGCACCAGAGCUUUUGCCUGACAUCCAAAGGGAAAAGAAUAACGGGGCCAUCAGCAGUGAGCAAAACGCAUCUCAUAACCUCCACUUCUUUUCAACGAGCUCCAGUUGUUGCUUUACAAGUGUACUCCAACCCCGGCAAGUGCCAAACAAAAGCUCCCCUCUCCUCCUCUG
Pezoporus occidentalis (night parrot) is the source of this 644-nucleotide long non-coding RNA. RefSeq lists it as uncharacterized. The record is from RefSeq and is a predicted model, not a curated record. Lineage: Eukaryota; Metazoa; Chordata; Aves; Psittaciformes; Psittacidae. The transcript has 2 exons.